GAUAAAUAUGUCCAAAACUAAAACCAUACACGUUCCAAUAUUGGCGUAUAUGGUAUUCAAUUGGACCAUAAAAUAUUGGUUAACUAUUCCUCUUAAGGAUAUCGGCUAAAAGAUAAACUCCUUAAUAAAGUAAUACCUACAAAAUUAUAAU
This is a small nucleolar RNA of Zeugodacus cucurbitae (melon fly), 151 nucleotides long. The record is from RefSeq and is a predicted model, not a curated record. NCBI's taxonomy places the organism in Eukaryota, Metazoa, Arthropoda, Insecta, Diptera, Tephritidae.